UACGAAGGGGGCUAGCGUUGCUCGGAAUCACUGGGCGUAAAGGGUGCGUAGGCGGGUCUUUAAGUCAGGGGUGAAAUCCUGGAGCUCAACUCCAGAACUGCCUUUGAUACUGAGGAUCUUGAGUUCGGGAGAGGUGAGUGGAACUGCGAGUGUAGAGGUGAAAUUCGUAGAUAUUCGCGAAGAACACCAGUGGCGAAGGCGGCUCACUGGCCCGAUACUGACGCUGAGGCACGGAAAGCGAUGGGGAGCCAA
Molecule: ribosomal RNA, 252 nt
Filed under: uncultured bacterium
Lineage: Bacteria
Description: partial 16S ribosomal RNA
Rfam family: Bacterial small subunit ribosomal RNA
Source: RNAcentral